Molecule: ribosomal RNA, 800 nt
Filed under: uncultured Bacteroidota bacterium
Lineage: Bacteria; Pseudomonadati; Bacteroidota
Description: bacterial SSU rRNA
Rfam family: Bacterial small subunit ribosomal RNA
Source: RNAcentral
AGCGGCAGGCCUAACACAUGCAAGUCGAGGGGUAACAGGAAAGCUUGCUUUCGCUGACGACCGGCGCACGGGUGCGUAACGCGUAUGCAACCUACCUCAUACUGGAGGAUAGCCCCUGGAAACGGGGAUUAAUACUCCAUAGUAUCACGAAUUCGCAUGUUUUUGUGAUUAAAGUUUUUCGGUAUGAGAUGGGCAUGCGUCCCAUUAGCUUGUUGGUGAGGUAACGGCUCACCAAGGCAACGAUGGGUAGGGGGCCUGAGAGGGUGGUCCCCCACACUGGUACUGAGACACGGACCAGACUCCUACGGGAGGCAGCAGUGAGGAAUAUUGGUCAAUGGAGGCAACUCUGAACCAGCCAUGCCGCGUGAAGGAUGACGGCCCUAUGGGUUGUAAACUUCUUUUAUAGAGGAAGAAACUUGUCUACGUGUAGACAACUGACGGUACUCUACGAAUAAGGAUCGGCUAACUCCGUGCCAGCAGCCGCGGUAAUACGGAGGAUCCAAGCGUUAUCCGGAUUCAUUGGGUUUAAAGGGUCCGUAGGCGGGUCUUUAAGUCAGUGGUGAAAGCCGACAGCUCAACUGUCGAACUGCCAUUGAUACUGGAGACCUUGAGUACAAAUGAAGUAGGCGGAAUGAGUCAUGUAGCGGUGAAAUGCAUAGAUAUGACUCAGAACACCGAUUGCGAAGGCAGCUUACUAACAUGUAACUGACGCUGAGGGACGAAAGCGUGGGGAGCGAACAGGAUUAGAUACCCUGGUAGUCCACGCCGUAAACGAUCAUCACUCGCUGGUUGGCGAAUAU